RNAcentral lists this transfer RNA (67 nucleotides) under Hiatula diphos (diphos sanguin). RNAcentral's name for it is "Soletellina diphos (diphos sanguin) tRNA-Leu". The record is from RNAcentral. Lineage: Eukaryota; Metazoa; Mollusca; Bivalvia; Cardiida; Psammobiidae. RNAcentral also lists the same sequence under 1 other name.
GUCAAAGUGGUAGAAAUAAAUACAUUAGGUUUAGGACCUAAAGAUGGGAUUAUUGUCUUCUUUGAUG